GAUGAACGCUGGCGGCGUGCCUAAUACAUGCAAGUCGAACGAAUAGCGAAAGGUCCUUCCCCCUUUCAGGUGGGUGCCGACCGGGGGAGUAAACCUUGAACAACCUGCUUUAAGGCUGGGGUUAAUUUUUGGAAACAGAUCUUAUUACCGAAUAUAUCUUGGUGCCGCAUGACACAUAGUUAAAGGCCGCUUCGCCGUCACUUAGAGAUGGAUCCGCGCGGCAUUAGCUAGUUGGUGGGGUAAAGGCUUACCAAGACGAUGAUGCAUAGCCGACCUGAGAGACUGAUCGGCCACACUGGAACUGAGACACGGUCCAAACUCCUACGGGAGGCUGCAGUAGGGAAUCUUCCGCAAUGGGCGAAAGCCUGAUGGAGCAACGCCGCGUGUGUGAUGAAGGCUUUCGGGUCGUAAAGCACUGUUGUUAGGGAAGAACAGCUGUAAAAGUAAAUGAUUAUAUUUUGACGGUACCAAACCAGAAAGGGACGGCUAAAUACGUG
RNAcentral lists this ribosomal RNA (497 nucleotides) under uncultured bacterium. RNAcentral describes it as "partial 16S ribosomal RNA". It matches the Rfam family "Bacterial small subunit ribosomal RNA", at positions 28 to 507 of the family's 1533-position model. The record is from RNAcentral.